This 1247-nucleotide ribosomal RNA is filed under the name Chickpea phyllody phytoplasma. RNAcentral's name for it is "bacterial SSU rRNA". It matches the Rfam family "Bacterial small subunit ribosomal RNA", at positions 153 to 1399 of the family's 1533-position model. Lineage: Bacteria; Bacillati; Mycoplasmatota; Mollicutes; Acholeplasmatales; Acholeplasmataceae. The record is from RNAcentral.
GAAACGACUGCUAAGACUGGAUAGGAAGAAAUAAGGCAUCUUAUUUCUUUUAAAAGACCUAGUAAUAGGUAUACUUUAGGAGGGGCUUGCGCCAUAUUAGUUAGUUGGUAGGGUAAUGGCCUACCAAGACGAUGAUGUGUAGCUGGACUGAGAGGUUGAACAGCCACAUUGGGACUGAGACACGGCCCAAACUCCUACGGGAGGCAGCAGUAAGGAAUUUUCGGCAAUGGAGGAAACUCUGACCGAGCAACGCCGCGUGAACGACGAAGUACUUUGGUAUGUAAAGUUCUUUUAUCAAGGAAGAAAAGCAAAUGGCGAACCAUUUGUUUGCCGGUACUUGAUGAAUAAGCCCCGGCUAAUUAUGUGCCAGCAGCCGCGGUAAGACAUAAGGGGCAAGUGUUAUCCGGAAUUAUUGGGCGUAAAGGGUGCGUAGGCGGUCUAGUAAGUCAGUGGUGUAAUGGCAACGCUUAACGUUGUCCGGCUAUUGAAACUGCUAAACUUGAGUUAGAUAGAGGCGAGUGGAAUUCCAUGUGUAGCGGUAAAAUGCGUAAAUAUAUGGAGGAACACCAGAGGCGUAGGCGGCUCGCUGGGUCUUAACUGACGCUGAGGCACGAAAGCGUGGGGAGCAAACAGGAUUAGAUACCCUGGUAGUCCACGCCGUAAACGAUGAGUACUAAGUGUCGGGUUAAACCGGUACUGAAGUUAACACAUUAAGUACUCCGCCUGAGUAGUACGUACGCAAGUAUGAAACUUAAAGGAAUUGACGGGACUCCGCACAAGCGGUGGAUCAUGUUGUUUAAUUCGAAGAUACCCGAAAAACCUUACCAGGUCUUGACAUGUUUUUGCAAAAUGAUAGUAAUAUCGUGGAGGUUACCAGAAACACAGGUGGUGCAUGGUUGUCGUCAGCUCGUGUCGUGAGAUGUUAGGUUAAGUCCUAAAACGAGCGAAACCCUUAUCGUUAGUUGCCAGCACGUUAUGGUGGGGACUUUAACGAGACUGCCAAUGAUAAAUUGGAGGAAGGUGAGGAUCACGUCAAAUCAGCAUGCCCCUUAUGACCUGGGCUACAAACGUGAUACAAUGGCUGUUACAAAGGGUAGCUGAAACGCAAGUUCUUGGCCAAUCCCCAAAAACAGUCCCAGUCCGGAUUGAAGUCUGCAACUCGACUUCAUGAAGUUGGAAUCGCUAGUAAUCGCGAAUCAGCAUGUCGCGGUGAAUACGUUCGCGGGGUUUGUACACACCGCCCGUCA